UACGUAGGGCGCAAGCGUUAUCCGGAAUUAUUGGGCGUAAAGAGCUUGUAGGCGGUUUGUCGCGUCUGCUGUGAAAUCUCAAGGCUCAACCUUGAGCUUGCAGUGGGUACGGGCAGACUAGAGUGUGGUAGGGGAGACUGGAAUUCCUGGUGUAGCGGUGAAAUGCGCAGAUAUCAGGAGGAACACCGAUGGCGAAGGCAGGUCUCUGGGCCACUACUGACGCUGAGAAGCGAAAGCAUGGGGAGCGAACAGG
RNAcentral lists this ribosomal RNA (253 nucleotides) under uncultured bacterium. RNAcentral describes it as "partial 16S ribosomal RNA". It matches the Rfam family "Bacterial small subunit ribosomal RNA", at positions 524 to 776 of the family's 1533-position model. The record is from RNAcentral.